Parus major (Great Tit) is the source of this 778-nucleotide long non-coding RNA. RefSeq lists it as uncharacterized. The record is from RefSeq and is a predicted model, not a curated record. Lineage: Eukaryota; Metazoa; Chordata; Aves; Passeriformes; Paridae. The transcript has 2 exons.
CAGCCCCUGGGGCAGGGGGACAUGGAGCACCAGGAGCUGGUGGCCGCUCGGUGGCCACGGCGGGAGGACAAGCCGAGUCCCCGGUGAGCUGCAGUCUUGCCAGGGGGGCAGGUCCCAGUACCCCUCUCCCUGUGGUCCCUUCUGAAGAGCUGCCUUAGGACAAGGCAUUCCAGGAUGGCUGAAGAGGGAAUGUGUGGACCCAGGCAGAAGUGAAAUCUGUGCCACCACGCCUCAGCUGAGCUCUGUAGGGCUGAACCGCCCAUGCCUGUAGAGCAUGAAGUGUUGAGAAGGUCCUGCAAAGUCCCACCCGUGCGUGGUCCCCUCCAAGGGGAGCAGAGGGUGACAGAUGUACCCAAAGGAAGACAAAACACGAGCGCCAUGGUCAGGCUAAGGUAAUAAAUACUUCUAUUCAUGGAGAACAAUGCAGCAGUGCAAUGUUUUAUUUAAAAAAAAAAAAAAAAUCAUCUCACUUGAUACCUCAGAAGACUGCAUCGCAACGUUGGUGGGCCGAGAGCGGCGUCAGAGGCACCUGCACCAGGAGCCCCUGAGAACCCUCCUCGUGCCUGGGCUCUCCUGGCUGCUGACUGCUCCCGGCACCGAGGGGAGAGAUUGCCCAGGUUAAUGCCCUACAUCCUACCACAGCAUGGCUGGCUCAGUCUGCCUUCGUCUCCUUGUCACCUCCGAGCUCCCUGGGGACAGCUCUUCCCUCAAGCACAGGACUUGCUGGCAACCUGCUUGCUUUUCUUUUCUCUUUUUUUUAAUUUCUUUUGUUAAAAAG